Mycena maculata is the source of this 91-nucleotide non-coding RNA. The record is from the annotation of a GenBank genome assembly. NCBI's taxonomy places the organism in Eukaryota, Fungi, Basidiomycota, Agaricomycetes, Agaricales, Mycenaceae.
GGUCGAUUAGUGUAGUGGUCAUCACUCGAGAUUUUGAAAUCACAUAACUUCUAAUUUUCUCGGAACCCCGGUUCGAACCCGGGAUCGACCU